This 253-nucleotide ribosomal RNA is filed under the name uncultured bacterium. RNAcentral describes it as "partial 16S ribosomal RNA". It matches the Rfam family "Bacterial small subunit ribosomal RNA", at positions 524 to 776 of the family's 1533-position model. The record is from RNAcentral.
GACAGAGGGUGCAAACGUUGCUCGGAAUCACUGGGCGUAAAGGGCGUGUAGGCGGGAAUGUAAGUCGGGCGUGAAAUCCCUAGGCUCAACCUAGGAACUGCACUCGAAACUGCGUUUCUUGAGUAUCGGAGAGGAAAGCGGAAUUCCUGGUGUAGAGGUGAAAUUCGUAGAUAUCAGGAGGAACACCAGUGGCGAAGGCGGCUUUCUGGACGAUUACUGACGCUGAGACGCGAAAGCGUGGGGAGCAAACAGA